Molecule: non-coding RNA, 6571 nt
Organism: Salmo salar (Atlantic salmon)
Lineage: Eukaryota; Metazoa; Chordata; Actinopteri; Salmoniformes; Salmonidae
Source: RefSeq, a predicted model, not a curated record
UAGUGCAUUUGAGCCAAUCAGUUGUGUUGUGACAAGGUAGGGGGGUAUACAGAAGAUAGCACUAUUUGGUUAAAAGACUAGACAGUACCCCCCGACGCGCAGCUCCAGCCGCAGGACGACGCCGGCAAGAGGGACGGCCCGAGGAUGAGGAGCAGCAAAGAUCGAAAUCACAGAUGAUGUUGGGAUCCAGAAUGUCCUCCACCGGUCCCAACACUGCUCUUCUGGGCCUUACCCCUCCUAGUCCACCAGGUACUGGAGGUUGAUCCCCACGACGUCGGGAGUCCAGUAGGAAUCUGACGGCAUAGGCAGGACCUCCCUCGAUGUCCAGGGGGGGCGGAGGGGUGUCGUGGGGGACAGCAUCAGCCAGGGGGAAAAAAACACUGGCCCGAGAAGGGAGACAUGAAAAGAAGGUGAGAUACGGUAGUCACUGGGAAGCUGUAACCUAUAUGUCACCUCGUUGAACCUCCGGAGAAACUUGAACGGCCCCACAAACCAGGGGCUCAGCUUCUUGCAGGGCAGGCAGAGUGGGAGGUUCCUGGUAGAGAGCCAGACACGAUCCCCAGGAUGGAACAUGAGUGUCUCACUGCAGUGGCAGUCUGCCUGCUCCUUCUGACGGUGGACGGCACGCUGGAGUCUCACUGUCCCUGCCGGUCCUGGCAGUGACUCCUAAGGUUCAUCCCCUGCUCUUGGUUCAGCCUCUCCACCUGCCUGUUAGACUGAGGCCUAUACCCGGAAGUGAGGCUGACCGUGACCACGAGUUUCUCUAUACCUGUGAUAUGAAUUGGGGGCCACGGUCAGAGACGAAGUCCUCUGGAAGGCCAUAAUGCCGGAAGACCUGCUGGAAUAGUGCCCCGGCAACCUGGAGAGCAGUAGGGAGACCAGAGAGACGGAUGAAACGACAGGAUUUGGAAAAUCUAUCCACAACCACCAAAUGGUGGUGAAACCGUCAGAGGAGGGGAGAUCAGUGACAAAGUCAAUGGAUAGAUGAGACCAGGGACGCUGAGGCAUGGGAAGGGGAAGGAGUUCCCAGCUGGACCGUGCCCGGGGGAUUUGGUUUGAGCAAAUACGGAACAGGAGUUGACACAGUGAAUAACGUCCUGCGCCAAGGUAGGCCACCAAUACUUCUCGGAGAUAGAUUGAGUAGUACGAGAAAUACUUGAAUGUCCAGCAGCAACAGCUGUGUGCGCCCAGGUCAGCAGCUGAUCCCUUAUCCCCGUGGGAAUGUAAAUACGCUCAGGAGGACAGGUAGUGGGUGCGGGCUCCCUCUCCAGAGCCUGGCAAAUGUCCACAUCUACGUCCCAGACCACAGGGGCUACGACUCGAGAGGAAGGGAUUAUGGGUGCAUUCUGGACAGGACCUUCUCCCGAAUCAUAGAGACGGGACAAGGCAUCGGCUUUGGUGUUCUUUGAACCUGGGCAAUAGGUCAGCGUGAAGUCAAAUCUCGUAAAGAAAAAGGCACACCUUACUUGGCGUGGAUUCAGGCUUGGUGCGGAUUCAGCCUCCUCGCUGUCCGUAUGUACUCCAGCUUCCAAUGGUCGGUGAGGAUGGCGAAUGGGUCCUUAGCGCCCUCCAGCCAGUGUUUCCACUCCUCUAAUGCCAACUUCACCGCCAGGAGGUCUCGAUCGCAAGGGAUAGUUUCUUAGAGUAAUGUGCACACGGAUACAAUUUUUGUGGAUUACCUUGUCGUUGAGACAGGACAGCCCCCACGCCCACUUCUGAAGCAUUCACCUCCACCACAGAGGGAAUCGUGGGAUCUGCGUGUUUGAGUAAUGGGGCGGAGGUGAAACAUCCCUUCAGUAGGUGGAAGGCCUCGUCAGCUGCUGGACUCCACACCAACCUACGGUGAACACCCUUGAGGAGAGAGGAGUGGCAAUGGAGCUAAAGUUCCUGAUGAAAUGGCAGUAGAAGUUGGCAAACGCCAAAAACCGUUGUAAACCCUUUAUGGUUGUUGGGACUGGCCAUGACCUGACCGCAUUUACCUUCUUGACGUCCAUCUUCACUCAUUGCGGGCUGAUUUGGUAGCCUAGGAAGGAGACAGCCACUUCUCAGCUUUGACAAACAGUUGGUUAGCCAGGAGGUGUUCCAGGACUACUCGGAUGUGAGCGAUGUGAUCCUCCAAGGUAGCCGAGUAGACCAGGAUGUCAUUGAUAUAUACGACCACCUGGCAUCCGAGCAGGUCCCCGAGCACCUCGUUGACGAAUGCCUUGAACACUGACGGAGCAUUGGCUAAGCCAAAUGAGAUUACCAAGUAUUUGUCGUGACCAGACAUCAUGCUAAAAGCUGUCUUCCAUUCAUCCUCCUCACGGAUGCGGAUGAGAUUGUAUGCACUCCGCAGGUCCAAUUUGGUAAAGAACCGGGCCCCUUCGGAGCUACUCGAUGGCUGCCAGCACCAAUGUGAGAGAGUAACGGUACUUGGUGGUGAUCUCAUUGAGUCCUCUGUAAUCAAUACACGGGCAUAACCCUCCAUCCUUCUUGGCCACAAAGAAGAAGCCUGCAGAUGCAGGAGAAGUGGAUGUGUGGAUGAAACCUUGUUGGAGCGCCUCAUGGAUGUACUCCUCCAUGGCCUUGGUUUCAGCCACCGACAGAGGGUAGAUGCGUCUGCACCAGGGUGCAGAGCUUACAAGCAGGUUGAUGGUACAGUCCCAGGGGCGAUGAGGUGGCGCGGUUUUUGGAAAAUACCUCCCGCAGGUCCUGGUAUACCUCCGGGAUGUUGGACUGAAGGGCAAGCAGGUCGAUGGUACAGUCCCAGGGGCAAUGAGGAGGGAGACAGGUGGUGCGGGUUUUGGAAAAUACCUCCCACCGGUCCUGGUAUACCCCUCGGACUCUCAACCAACGUGGAACCACAGGGGAUGGGAAAGCAGGUCCUCCGGCAUUCAGGUGCCCAGUACGUGAUUUGCAUCCUCGACCAUGAGAUGGUGGAGUUAUGGUGUUGAAGCUAAGGGAGGCCGAGGAUGAUCUUGUGAGCUGAUGCACUGGUGAUGAAGAAGGGAAUGUUCCCCUGAUGGAUGGACUCCACGGUGAGGGUGAGUGAUUUGAUGAUGUGUGUGAUGGUCCCGGAACCUAAUGGCCGAUUAUCGAGGGCUUGAACCGGGAGAGGAGAGCAGGUAUGAGGUUAUGUUAAGAGAGGGGGCAAGGGUGUGGUCAAUAAAGUUCCCCGUGGCACCAGAAUCCACUAACGCUGUAGAAACAGUACACGAGGGACUGUCAACUAGUGUAAUCGACACCAAAAAGGAUUUGGCAGAAAGUGAUGAAGAAGGGAUACUCACACCUGCCCCAGGAGGUGGAAGAUCACGUGACCGUCCCUCGGCUCUCGUGGAUCCCGAGUUGGGGCGUACCGGACAAUGCUGGAGCUUGUGCCCACCUUGACCACAAUAGAGACCCAGCUAACUCCGUCUGCGUCACUCCGCCGCGGGGAGACAUGUGACUCCUACCUCCAUGGGUUCAGGCUCUGAUCCAAAGUGUUCACUGAGGGAGGGAGAGAAGCGAUGAGAGUGCUGAAGCUCCGGAAGUAGGUUAUCCAGACGGAUGGCCAUCGCGAUGAGUGCGUCGAAGGAGAGUCUGGACCUCCUCGCGCAGUCCUCUUCUGAAUAGUGUACGAAGCGCCGGAUCAUUCCAUCCGCUGGAUGCUGCUACUUUCCGGAACGUGAGUGUCUGGUCCUCCUGUCUUAGUUGGAGUAGGUGCUCACUCCCCUCUCUGCCCUCCGGUGGAUGAUCGAAGACACCUCCGAACAGAGCCAUGAACCCCUCAUACAAAUCCAGCUCCUCCUCUCCUAUCUUCCAGACGGCCGUGGCCCAUUCCACGUCCGCCCAGUCAGCAGAGAAAUAACCGUGACAACCUUGUUGGUGGGGGCUCCCAUCUGAUGUGCAAAAUAGAGGGAGCACUGUAGUAGGAAGCCACGACAUUUAGAUGGGGUGCCAUCAUAUUUAUCUGGGAGGGACAAACGGGCAUUGCUGACCUGGGCGGGUUGCUGAAUGGGCUGGUGUGCUGGCUCGCUGGGUCGACUGGUGGUAGAGUAUCCUCUGCUAGUUGAAGGUAACACCUCUCGGGUAUGUUCGAGACAUUAAACACUGUGAAGAACCUCUUCCAUAGCCGUCCCCAGUUGUGCCAGCUGGUCGUGGUGUUGACGAAGUAGAUAUCCCUGCUCAUCGACCGUCUGGGAGAUGUUCUGAUUUCCUGCUGCUUCCAUUUUAUUAAGCAGUAUUCUGUAACAUAGAUGCUGGGAGUCGAGAAGCAGGUGGUAAGUUUAAUAUAACAAAGUACAUGGAACGAUACGCCAUAGGAGUAGCAUCUUGACAAGAAACACAGAAACAAUACUUCUUGGGGAAAUAACCUAAGGGAGUGCCAUAAAAAGGGGAGGUAAUGAGUGAGGUAAUGGAGUCCAGGAGUGCCUUAUGAUGAAGCGCAGAUGCACAAAAUGAUUGAUGCCAGGUGCCUGUAAUGAUAGUUGCCAGGACCGGAGGUUAGUAAACCCGCGAUGUCUAACGCUGGAGGGGAGGAGCAGGAGUAGACAUGAAAAAGGCCAGUGAAAAGCCUUCUUCGGUAGGUUUGUGUGGAUGCCAGCUGUAUGCAUUUUCAAGAGGCCUUUUUAUCCUGUGAUGUACACUGCCUGUUCUCCAUACAUGCCAUCUCUCUCUGGGAGAGAACUGCUAUCCCAGCAGAACACUUUCACCCAGAAUACAGAUGGAGAAUCUGUCCUUUUGCACUUCUGAAAUACACUCACAUGGAUAUCUCAUCCUGUAGUUGGGAAUGUAAAAAAAAAAUCUGAAUGUGAAUAGAUGACACAGUAUAUCAUGAGAAUAUACAGUAACAGUCAAAAGUUUGGACACACCUACUCAUUCAAGGGUUUUUCUUUAUUUUUACUAUUUUCUACAUUGUAGAAUAAUAGUGCAGACAUCAAAACUAUGAAAUAACACACAUGGAAUCAUGUAGUAAGCAAAAAAGAGCUAAACAAAUCAAAAUAUAUUUUAUAUUUGAGACUCUUCAAAGUAGCCACCCUUUGCCUUGAUGACAGCUUUGCACACUCUUGGCAUUCUCUCAACCAGCUUCAUGAGGAAUGCUUUUCCAACAAUCUUGAAAGAGUUCCCACAUAUGCUGAGCACUUGUUGGCUACUUUUACUUCACUCUGUGGUCCACCUCAUCCCAAACCAUCUCAAUUGGGAUGAGGUCGGGUGAUUGUGGAGGCCAGGUCAUCUUAUGCACUCCAUCACUCUCCUUCUUGGUCAAAUAGCCUUUACAUAGCCUCUCUGAGCAGCUGGAGGUGCCGCACUGGUCCCCCAUGGGAAUCAAACUCACAAUCCUGGGAUGGAAGGUACAGUUACAGGUACAAUUACACAUUCACCUCUUUAACACUGGAGGGCAGUAUAAGCAUGAUGAUAAAAUGCUGCUCAUUAUUGUGUUUCAGAACUUCACCCAUGCACUGUCCACAAGCUCAUGACAACAAGAUUAAUUUGAGCUCCUCAAGACUUAAAUACUUUCCUCCAGGUGUCUACUCUACUCAAAUGCACUAGCACUGACUAUAGCUUAUUUUAUCCAAAUGCCAAGAAACACGCACUGUAUCUUAACGGCUUCUAUUUGGCCUGAAUGGUGUGUGUGUGACGCAGUAUAACAAUUUGAAGGACUACAUGAGACACUACCGUCUGUACGGCUCUCUGCACAGCAGGAUCAUCGACCACCUGGACAGAUACCAGGGCAAGUGGUUUUAUGAGAACGCCAUCCUCUUGGAGCUCUCAGCACGACUCAGACGGGAGGUGAUCAGCUAGAACUGUACCAACCUCGUCUCCAACAUGGCCGGGUUUAAAGACGCAGACCCCUUCUUCCUCUCUGAGCAGCUGGAGGUGCUGCAGUUUGAGAUGUACCAAAUGGGGGACCUGAUCAUCCGCUGGGGGGCUCAUGGGAGACUGCAUGUACUUCAUCAACAGUUGAGCCGUGGAGGUAGAGACCUCCAAAUUCACAAAAAGAUUGUCUGAUUGAGCCUUCUUUGGAGGAUAUAACCACUGUUUCAACACAGCAUCACCGUACCACUAUCAAGGGUUAAUCAGUGUCGGGAUUUAGGUAGAGUCUUCAAAGAGUAUUCACAACCUGUGAAUGUCAAAGUGGAAUUAUGUUUUCGCAAUUUUUACAAAUUAAUUUAAAAUUAAAAGCUGAAAUGUCUUGAGUCAAUAAGUAUUCAACCCCUUUUUUACGGCAAGCCUAAAUAAGUUCAGGAGUAAACAUUUGCUUAUCAACUCACAUAAUAUGUUGUAUGGACUUACUCUCAGUGCAAUCAUAGUGUUUAACAUGAUUUUUGAAUGACUACCUCAUCUCUGCACCCCACACAUACAAUUUCAGUGUACAAUUUCAAACACAGAUUCAACCACAAAGAUCAGGGAGAUUUUCCAAUGCCUCGCAAAGAAGGACACCUAUUGGUAGAUGGGUCCUGCAUACAAAGUGUUAUGUUUGGGGAAAAUCCAAUACAACACAUCACUGAGUACCACUCUCCAUAUUUUCAAGCUUAGGGGUGGCUGCAUCAUGUUAUGGGUAUGCUUGUAAUCGUUAAGAUCUGGGGAGUUUUUUCAGGAUUAAAAAGAAACG